RNAcentral lists this ribosomal RNA (982 nucleotides) under uncultured bacterium. RNAcentral's name for it is "bacterial SSU rRNA". It matches the Rfam family "Bacterial small subunit ribosomal RNA", at positions 28 to 1014 of the family's 1533-position model. The record is from RNAcentral.
GAUGAACGCUAGCGGCAGGCUUAACACAUGCAAGUCGAGGGGUAGGAGAAGCUUGCUUUUCUGAGACCGGCGCACGGGUGCGUAACGCGUAUGCAAUCUACCUUUCACAGAGGGAUAGCCCAGAGAAAUUUGGAUUAAUACCUCAUAGUAUAAUUGAAUGGCAUCAUUUAAUUAUUAAAGAUUUAUCGGUGAAAGAUGAGCAUGCGUCCCAUUAGCUAGUUGGUAUGGUAACGGCAUACCAAGGCAACGAUGGGUAGGGGUCCUGAGAGGGAGAUCCCCCACACUGGUACUGAGACACGGACCAGACUCCUACGGGAGGCAGCAGUGAGGAAUAUUGGACAAUGGGCGCAAGCCUGAUCCAGCCAUGCCGCGUGCAGGAUGACGGUCCUAUGGAUUGUAAACUGCUUUUAUACAGGAAGAAACACUCCCUCGUGAGGGAGCUUGACGGUACUGUAAGAAUAAGGAUCGGCUAACUCCGUGCCAGCAGCCGCGGUAAUACGGAGGAUCCAAGCGUUAUCCGGAAUCAUUGGGUUUAAAGGGUCCGUAGGCGGUCAGGUAAGUCAGUGGUGAAAGCCCAUCGCUCAACGGUGGAACGGCCAUUGAUACUGUCUGACUUGAAUUAUUAGGAAGUAACUAGAAUAUGUAGUGUAGCGGUGAAAUGCUUAGAGAUUACAUGGAAUACCAAUUGCGAAGGCAGGUUACUACUAAUUGAUUGACGCUGAUGGACGAAAGCGUGGGUAGCGAACAGGAUUAGAUACCCUGGUAGUCCACGCCGUAAACGAUGGAUACUAGCUGUUGGGAGCAAUCUCAGUGGCUAAGCGAAAGUGAUAAGUAUCCCACCUGGGGAGUACGAACGCAAGUUUGAAACUCAAAGGAAUUGACGGGGGCCCGCACAAGCGGUGGAGCAUGUGGUUUAAUUCGAUGAUACGCGAGGAACCUUACCAAGGCUUAAAUGUAGAUUGACCGUUUGGAAACAGAACUU